GGUAAGUGAAACAGAAAGCGUCCGAGGGUUUUAACUUCGCUGGAGACUCGCUGCUUGUUGUUCGCCCCGUCCGCGUCUCCAGUAAUGUCGUGAAAGUGUCUCACAUCUGAAGCUCAACGUUGUAAAAGUGAACUGAUCCUCUAGAGAUUUGAAAUGAAUGUCGCUGAUUGCAGUACCAUUUACAGUAAUGGAAUGAAGACAGAAACUACCUACCACGGCUUGAAGAACCAAGGAUCAACAUGUUACUUGAACAGUGUGCUGCAGGUGCUGUUCAUGACCAAAGACUUCAGAGAAGCAGUGAAAAGGUACAGAGAAGAAAACACAGAGUGUAUUGACCAUGACCUCAAUGACUUAUUUAAGAACUUACAAGAACGUACAACAGACACAUCUGAAAUAAGAAAGAAGCUGGGCAUUGCCAAAG
Long non-coding RNA from Mugil cephalus (flathead mullet), 421 nucleotides. RefSeq lists it as uncharacterized. The transcript has 4 exons. The record is from RefSeq and is a predicted model, not a curated record. NCBI's taxonomy places the organism in Eukaryota, Metazoa, Chordata, Actinopteri, Mugiliformes, Mugilidae.